AUACGGAGGAUGCAAGCGUUAUCCGGAUUUAUUGGGUUUAAAGGGUGCGUAGGCGGUUUGUUAAGCGGGAGGUGAAAUGCCGGCGCUCAACGUCGGAAGUGCCUCCCGAACUGGUGGACUUGAAUGACUCUGCCGUGGGAGGAAUGUGUAGUGUAGCGGUGAAAUGCUUAGAGAUUACACAGAACACCGAUUGCGAAGGCAUCUCACGAAGGGUUGAUUGACGCUGAGGCACGAAAGCGUGGGGAUCAAACAGGAUUAGAUACCCUGGUAGUCCACGCAGUAAACGAUGAUGGCUAACCGCUGGGCUUAUCAGUUCAGUGGCCAAGCGAAAGCGAUAAGCCAUCCACCUGGGGAGUACGACCGCAAGGCUGAAACUCAAAUGAAUUGACGGGG
RNAcentral lists this ribosomal RNA (393 nucleotides) under uncultured bacterium. RNAcentral's name for it is "partial 16S ribosomal RNA". It matches the Rfam family "Bacterial small subunit ribosomal RNA", at positions 523 to 918 of the family's 1533-position model. The record is from RNAcentral.